This 465-nucleotide ribosomal RNA is filed under the name uncultured bacterium. RNAcentral describes it as "partial 16S ribosomal RNA". It matches the Rfam family "Bacterial small subunit ribosomal RNA", at positions 28 to 507 of the family's 1533-position model. The record is from RNAcentral.
GACGAACGCUGGCGGCGUGCUUAACACAUGCAAGUCGAACGGAAAGGCCCUGCUUGCAGGGUACUCGAGUGGCGAACGGGUGAGUAACACGUGGGUGAUCUGCCCUGCACUUCGGGAUAAGCCUGGGAAACUGGGUCUAAUACCGGAUAGGAGCCAUUUUUAGUGUGAUGGUUGGAAAGUUUUUUCGGUGUAGGAUGAGCUCGCGGCCUAUCAGCUUGUUGGUGGGGUAAUGGCCUACCAAGGCGGCGACGGGUAGCCGGCCUGAGAGGGUGGACGGCCACAGUUGGACUGGGAGACGGGCCAGACUCCUACGGGAGGCAGCAGUGGGGAAGAUUGCACCAUGGGGGCAAGCCUGAUGCAGCGACGCCGCGGGGGGGAUUACGGGCUUCGGGUUGGAAACUCCCUUCGCCAGGGACGAAGCCUUUUGUGACGGUACCUAGAUAAGAAGCCCCGGCUAACUACGUG